Molecule: ribosomal RNA, 412 nt
Filed under: uncultured bacterium
Lineage: Bacteria
Description: bacterial SSU rRNA
Rfam family: Bacterial small subunit ribosomal RNA
Source: RNAcentral
GUGGCAGCCGCCGCGGUAAGACGGGGGGGCGAGCGUUGUUCGGAUUUAUUGGGCGUAAAGGGUGUGUAGGUGGUUGCUUAAGUCGGGCGUGAAAAAUCCUUGGCUCAACCAGGGACUGGCGUUCGAAACUAGGCGACUUGAGUACGGGAGAGGAGAGUGGAAUUCCUGGUGUAGCGGUGAAAUGCGUAGAUAUCAGGAGGAACACCGGUGGCGAAGGCGACUCUCUGGCCCGAUACUGACACUGAGGCACGAAAGCUGGGGGAGCGAACGGGAUUAGAUACCCCGGUAGUCCCAGCCGUAAACGAUGAGCACUAGGUGUAGGAGGUUUUUAUCCUUCUGUGCCGUAGCUAACGCGUUAAGUGCCCCGCCUGGGGAGUACGGUCGCAAGGCUGAAACUUAAAUGAAUUGGCGG